This is a non-coding RNA of Rattus norvegicus (Norway rat), 4579 nucleotides long. The record is from RefSeq and is a predicted model, not a curated record. Lineage: Eukaryota; Metazoa; Chordata; Mammalia; Rodentia; Muridae.
GCUAGGACCAGACAUUCAUACAUGAGUGAGAAAGAUUAGAUGAAAAGAGAUACCUUGUAGCCUGAAAAGAGCCAGUAGUAGGAAUUUUUACCCAUUCGAGGUGAAGUUCCCGUGAAAGUUAGACAAGAGUGAUUUUAGGGAGUGGGUUAGUUCUUUCUACCUUUCCUGAAGACUGGGGGUGGUAGAAAAUAUGAAAAUGUCAGGGCAUGUCUAAGGCUUUAGAUAGAAUUUGAGAAAAUUGGAAAGCAAACUCAGGACAACUGUCUGACUAGAGGAAGUCUGGGACACGAAAUCAGGGCAAUGAUCUCUCAGAGGAAGAGAUAAGAAACUGUCUGAGUCCUUCUGGUAGUUGUGGGAAAUGCCUCCACCCACCCAAAAAGAGGUCCACAAAGAUCAGAAGGUACUUGGCCUGUUUGACAGUGGGCACGUAGGUAAAGUCAAAUUGCCAGUUGGAUCCAGGACGAGAGCCUCUAGCCUGAUGGGUAGGAAAAGGGAUGCUAUGAUACCGGGAGUUGGAGUCUGACAUCUGACAGAUUUUGUAAGAGGCAGUGAUAGAUUUUAAGAAACGUAAGUCCUCAGAAGUAGGCCGUUUGUGAGUCUUAACAAAAUAAGACAACGCUUGGCUAUUAGGAUGAAAGAAUUGGUAAAAAUAGGACAGAGUUUGAUGAAUGUCAGGGAGUGAGAGCGAGAUGUGGGUUGGAGUGUAAGAAUGUCCCAGUCAGGGUUAGACAAAUCUAGGCCCUUAAGGACUGCAGCUUUAGCUGACUCAUCAGUUCAGUUGUUUCCCUUGGAGACAAUAGAAUCAUCUAUUUGGUGGAAUCUGCAGUAGACAAUCCCAAUAACUAUGGGGAUAUGGGAGGCCUUUACCAUGGCCAUAAUUUGGUUUCCAUUAGUUACUGAUACUCUUUGUGGCAAGUAACCCAUGGUCCUUCCAGAUAGCAGUGUGGGACAGGAUGAUGUGGAAAGCAUAUUUGGAGUCUGUGUAGAUGUUGAGAAACUGUCCCUGUGCCAGUUGAAAGGCAAGGCAAGUGGGCUACUACUUCAGCCUGUUGAUUGGAAGUAUGAACAGGGAGGGUCUGUGCCUCAAUCACCUCUGUGUCUGAUAUUAUAGCAUAGCUAGAUCUUCUGGUCCCUUCAUGUAGAAAAGAGCUUCCAUCUGUACACCAAGUAUAGAUAGCCUGAGGCAAUGUGCCCUCCUGUAUGUGUGAAGGAUGAGGAAAUAGUUCCUCUAAGUUUUCAGUGCAGGAGUGAGUUAGGGAGUGGUUACUAUUUGAUCAAGAAAGAAAUUAGGAAAUAUUAAGAGGUGGGCAUGACUGGAGUGUGGGAGUAGAGUCUUCUAUUAGUGCUACCCGAAGAUAAAGAACUUCAGGACGGUGGUAGAAUGUGUAAACAUUUGUAUGUUAGAAGCUGUGAGAGAUUAUGAGAAGAGAAUAUGAUUAUGGCCGACCCAAAGUUUAGUUUUUUUGACUCUGGAAUAAGGAGUUCAGUGGCUUGAAAAACCUGGGUAACAGGUUUGAGAAGAAAUUUCUAGGUGGGACCUAACACUGCUUCAUAUAAGGGGUGAGAAAGGAGAGAAAAGGAAGGAACCCAGGAAUAUAUUAAAAACAAACAAACAAAAAACCAACCUGGCUAUUCCUAGGAAUGAUAAAAUAUCUUCCUUUGUAGAAGGAACAGUUAGAGAAUGGAUCAGAAUCUUUCUAUCUAGGGUAAUAGCUUUUUAGGUUGGGGUAAUUGUUCGUCCCAAAUAGAUGACCAAAGGACUGGACUUUAGAAGGUGAGACCCUGUAACCUUUACUGAAAAUGAAAUUCAGAAGAGCAGAGGUGUCAGUUUGGCAAAUUUUUUGAGAGGGGUUACACAGAAGAAUGCAAUCUAUAUAGUGGACAGUCCUAGAUUUAGGGAGAGAAAGAGAGAAGGUAAUUCAGAAACCAGGGCCUGGCCAAAUUGGUGUGGGCUGUGCUGGAAUCUCUGAGGUAGAACAGUCCAGGUAAGUUGUGUAGAAAAGUGGGUGUCAGGAUCUGUUCAGGAAAAGGCAAAUAUGUUCUGUGACUGGGUAUCUAGAGGGAUAGAGAAAGUAGCAUCCGGAGAUCUAAGAUUGAGAAAUGAGAAUUCCCCAAGGGGAUAGUGGGAAGAAGUGUAUAAGGAUUAGCCACAACAGGAUGUACAGGAACUAUGGCAGAAUUAAUGGACCUGAGGUUUUGAACCAGGAGAUAGGUUCCACUAAGUUUCCUAACUGCUAAUGUAGGGGUUUUAAAGGGGGAAGAGGUAGGGCAAAGGAGGUUUUUCCUUAAGAGAUCAGAGGUGAUAUACUUAAGGCCCCUGAGGCUCUGGAGUGAAAGCAGGUAUUGAGGUUGGGUGAUGUACCUGGUAGAAUUCAGUAAUUGCUUGACAACAGGAGAAUGUUUAGCAGCAGAGGGGUUCUGGACAUCCCUGACAAGGAGGUCUACUUGAGAAGCUGCUCAGCUCACCCUGUCAAGUGGGAGACUUCACAAUCUGUCACCCAGGAAGAGAGAGAAAGGGCCAGAAGUCAACUUGCAUUAGAAAAUGUGCUAUUACCAAGAAGCAUGUCACCAAGACAACCGAAUAGAACUGUCCAGAGUAUGUCCUUCUGCAGAAAUAUCAAUUGAGACAACUAUCCAGGCAUGAAAUACCUUCAUAAGAACUAAACAAAACAGAGAGUUGUGGCAAAAAAAGACACACUCAACCAAGAGUUGCGAUGAAAGCAAUGUGUCACAUGAAUUGCCAAUACUUACACUAGUUAAAAGAAGAAAGAAACAAAAGAAAAUAGAGCAUCAUUAUAUAAAAGAGUCAACUUAUCAAGCAGAACCAUCCCUUUAUUCUUCUUCUUUCCCCUACAAUGAAGUGAUUCUUUACAACAUCCUGUGCUCCUUUUAAAGCCCAUUGGUUCCUUGUGGUGCUGUCAGAAUGUACAUGAGGAACGUCUACUGAAGAAAGGAAAGCCUCUCAGAAGCCAAAUACCUGAAGAAAACUCACUCUGCCUCUCAUAAGAAUCCAUCAGUGGCCAAUAUCACCUCAGUGUUUCCACAGGACGUAUCCCAGAUGAUUGAGUCGGGGGAAAGUCUACAAAAGUUUGGAUGUUGAUUAUUUCCUAAUAUCCCAGAAAUGAGAGGAAAGCCUAAACAUGAUCUAGGAUUAAGGAUACCAGCUUUUGCAGAAGAACUAAAACAACUACCCAUGUCUAAACAAGCAACUACUAGACUCUUGGGCUUCCCAUUCACAACUGCCCAUUGUUGGGUUAGCUGGACUACUGACUAGUCACCAGCCAACAAACAGGCAUUAAAUUCACCAUCCUAAGGAAAUUAUUCAUACUCAAAACAUAACAGCCAAAAGUCAUGCACUUGAAGACUUCUGUCUCUACUCCUCUAUUCUACGGAUAAAGUGAAACCAUAACUUUCAGGAAAAGAAAACAUGAGAAUGUAGAUUACAAAAGUCGGAACUGACAAAAUACAUAAAGACCAUGGGAUGGAAUUUACAUUUUGAGGAUGGCAGAGUAAUGAAUCAGAAAGAGCCUUUGACACCAACGACUCACAGGAAGUCCCAACAUGUCUCCUUAAUAUCUUCAUAGUGGUCAUAUCAUUUGAAUAUGAAGAAGAAAAAGAGCAGGUGGAGCCUGACAAGAUCUUCCUGGCUGUUGACCUGCGCAGCUGGAGAAAUCACUAUUGCAGCACAGCUGGACCUGUGGGUUGUGAGAGCUGUGGCUUCGACUUUUACAGAAAAGAUUCUGCUGAAGAGAAUGAGAAGGAAGAGCAUACAUGGCCAAGAACCUGCAGGGUAUAAAAGACCCCAGCACCCAGAUGGAAAGGUGGAGCCCACCCUCUCCCAAAAUACUUCAUUUCUCCAAAAAAAAGAGAAGUCAAUGGGAGAUAUGAAGCCUGAACUAACCAUGCAAGGAUCCCCAGGUUGUGACUAUGACACCAACCCAGUCACAAAACCUUCAACUUACAUUUGUUCUGCCUGGAAAAUGAACUAGGGUAAUGGUGACUCUCAGAAGACCGGAGCAUGUUGUACUCUGAGAGGCUCUACCCAGCAGCUGACUCAGACAGAUGCAGACACCCACAUCCAAACAGUGGAUGCAGCUUGUGGACUCUUAUGAAAGAAUAAUUGGAGGGAUUGUGAGACUGAAGAGGAUGGGACUCCACAGAAACACCAACAGAGUCAACUCACCUGGACCCUUGGGGCUCUGUGUCUGAACCACCAGCCAAAGAACAUACACUGCCUGGACCUAGGCCUCCUUGCACAUAGGUAGCAAAUGUGCUGCUUGGUCUUCAUGUGGAUCCUAAACAAGUGGAGCAGGGCCUAUCCCCAAAGCUGUUGCCCAUAUAUGGGAUAAGUCCUUUAGCUGGGCUACCUUGUCUGGCCUCAGUGGAAGAGGAAGUGUUUAGCCUAGCAGAGAUUUGAAAUGCCAAGGUUGGGGGAUACUGAGGGGCCACACCCUCUCAGAGGAGAAGGCAAGGGGAAAUUGGGGAAGGAUUAUGGGAAGGAGUGUCCUGUAGAAGAACAAUGAGCAGGAUGUAAAGUGAGUAAGUAAAAUAAAAUAAAAUUAAACUUAAAAAAAGAAAA